This 441-nucleotide ribosomal RNA is filed under the name uncultured bacterium. RNAcentral's name for it is "partial 16S ribosomal RNA". It matches the Rfam family "Bacterial small subunit ribosomal RNA", at positions 339 to 795 of the family's 1533-position model. The record is from RNAcentral.
CUACGGGUUGCUCCAGCGGGGAAUAUUGGGCAAUGGGCGCAAGCCUGACCCAGCAACGCCGCGUGAGGGAAGAAGGUUUUCGGAUUGUAAACCUCUGUCCUUGGGGACGAAGAAGUGACGGUACCCAAGGAGGAAGCUCCGGCUAACUACGUGCCAGCAGCCGCGGUAAUACGUAGGGAGCAAGCGUUGUCCGGAAUUACUGGGCGUAAAGGGUGCGUAGGCGGCAGAUUAAGUCAGGUGUGAAAUACUCGGGCUCAACCCGGGGGCUGCAUUUGAAACUGAUAUGCUUGAGUGUGAGAGAGGAAAGUGGCAUUCCUAGUGUAGCGGUGGAAUGCGUAGAUAUUAGGAGGAACACCAGUGGCGAAGGCGACUUUCUGGCUCAUAACUGACGCUGAGGCACGAAAGCGUGGGAAGCAAACAGGAUUAGAUACCCUCGUAGUC